GAGUUUGAUCCUGGCUCAGGACGAACGCUGGCGGCGCGCCUAACACAUGCAAGUCGAACGAGCGAGAGAGAGCUUGCUUUCUCAAGCGAGUGGCGAACGGGUGAGUAACGCGUGAGGAACCUGCCUCAAAGAGGGGGACAACAGUUGGAAACGACUGCUAAUACCGCAUAAGCCCACAGCUCGGCAUCGAGCAGAGGGAAAAGGAGCAAUCCGCUUUGAGAUGGCCUCGCGUCCGAUUAGCUAGUUGGUGAGGUAAUGGCCCACCAAGGCGACGAUCGGUAGCCGGACUGAGAGGUUGAACGGCCACAUUGGGACUGAGACACGGCCCAGACUCCUACGGGAGGCAGCAGUGGGGAAUAUUGCACAAUGGGGGAAACCCUGAUGCAGCGACGCCGCGUGGAGGAAGAAGGUCUUCGGAUUGUAAACUCCUGUUGUUGAGGAAGAUAAUGACGGUACUCAACAAGGAAGUGACGGCUAACUACGUGCCAGCAGCCGCGGUAAAACGUAGGUCACAAGCGUUGUCCGGAAUUACUGGGUGUAAAGGGAGCGCAGGCGGGAAGACAAGUUGGAAGUGAAAUCUAUGGGCUCAACCCAUAAACUGCUUUCAAAACUGUUUUUCUUGAGUAGUGCAGAGGUAGGCGGAAUUCCCGGUGUAGCGGUGGAAUGCGUAGAUAUCGGGAGGAACACCAGUGGCGAAGGCGGCAUACUGGGCACCAACUGACGCUGAGGCUCGAAAGUGUGGGUAGCAAACAGGAUUAGAUACCCUGGUAGUCCACACCGUAAACGAUGAUUACUAGGUGUUGGAGGAUGAACCCCUUCAGUGCCGCAGUUAACACAAUAAGUAAUCCACCUGGGGAGUACGACCGCAAGGUUGAAACUCAAAGGAAUUGACGGGGGCCCGCACAAGCAGUGGAGUAUGUGGUUUAAUUCGACGCAACGCGAAGAACCUUACCAAGUCUUGACAUCCUGCGACGCACAUAGAAAUAUGUGUUUCCUUCGGGACGCAGAGACAGGUGGUGCAUGGUUGUCGUCAGCUCGUGUCGUGAGAUGUUGGGUUAAGUCCCGCAACGAGCGCAACCCUUACUGUCAGUUACUACGCAAGAGGACUCUGGCAGGACUGCCGUCGACAAAACGGGGGAAGGUGGGGAUGACGUCAAAUCAUCAUGCCCUUUAUGACUUGGGCUACACACGUACUACAAUGGCGUUAAACAAAGAGAAGCAAGACCGCGAGGUGGAGCAAAACUCAGAAACAACGUCCCAGUUCGGACUGCAGGCUGCAACUCGCCUGCACGAAGUCGGAAUUGCUAGUAAUCGUGGAUCAGCAUGCCACGGUGAAUACGUUCCCGGGCCUUGUACACACCGCCCGUC
Molecule: ribosomal RNA, 1368 nt
Filed under: uncultured bacterium
Lineage: Bacteria
Description: bacterial SSU rRNA
Rfam family: Bacterial small subunit ribosomal RNA
Source: RNAcentral